GGGCGCGUAGCUCAGUUGGUUAGAGCGCUACGUUGACAUCGUAGAGGUCGGAGGUUCGAAUCCUCUCGCGCCCA
RNAcentral lists this transfer RNA (74 nucleotides) under Gemmatimonadota bacterium. RNAcentral describes it as "Gemmatimonadetes bacterium (freshwater metagenome) tRNA-Val". It matches the Rfam family "tRNA". From Rfam's summary of the family: Transfer RNA (tRNA) molecules are approximately 80 nucleotides in length. Their secondary structure includes four short double-helical elements and three loops (D, anti-codon, and T loops). Further hydrogen bonds mediate the characteristic L-shaped molecular structure. tRNAs have two regions of fundamental functional importance: the anti-codon, which is responsible for specific mRNA codon recognition, and the 3' end, to which the tRNAs corresponding amino acid is attached (by aminoacyl-tRNA synthetases). tRNAs cope with the degeneracy of the genetic code in two manners: having more than one tRNA (with a specific anti-codon) for a particular amino acid; and 'wobble' base-pairing, i.e. permitting non-standard base-pairing at the 3rd anti-codon position. Lineage: Bacteria; Pseudomonadati; Gemmatimonadota. The record is from RNAcentral.